AGUGAACGCUGGCGGCGUGCUUAACACAUGCAAGUCGAACGAGAACGGAUUAUAGCUUGCUAUAAUUGUCAGCUAAGUGGCGCACGGGUGAGUAAUGUAUAGGUAAUAUGCCUCUUACUAAGGGAUAACAAAUGGAAACGUUUGCUAAUACCCUAUACUCCUUACUAACUAAAGUUAGUAAGGGAAAGAUUUAUUGGUAAGAGAUUAGCCUGUAUUGUAUCAGUUAGUUGGUGGGGUAAUGGCCUACCAAGACAAUGACGCAUAACUGGUUUGAGAGGACGAUCAGUCACACUGGAACUGAGACACGGUCCAGACUCCUACGGGAGGCAGCAGUGGGGAAUAUUGCACAAUGGACGAAAGUCUGAUGCAGCAACGCCGCGUGGAGGAUGACACAUUUCGGUGCGUAAACUCCUUUUAUAUAAGAAGAUAAUGACGGUAUUAUAUGAAUAAGCACCGGCUAACUCCGUGCCAGCCGCCGCGGUAA
RNAcentral lists this ribosomal RNA (484 nucleotides) under uncultured bacterium. Its description in RNAcentral is "partial 16S ribosomal RNA". It matches the Rfam family "Bacterial small subunit ribosomal RNA", at positions 29 to 523 of the family's 1533-position model. The record is from RNAcentral.